GUCUCUGUAGCGCAAUGUAUAACACGUUGGACUUUAUAUCCAACUGUCGUGGGUUCGAAUCCCACCAGGGAUG
This is a non-coding RNA of Trichonephila inaurata madagascariensis, 73 nucleotides long. Lineage: Eukaryota; Metazoa; Arthropoda; Arachnida; Araneae; Nephilidae. The record is from the annotation of a GenBank genome assembly.